GACGAACGCUGGCGGCGUGCCUAAUACAUGCAAGUAGAACGCACAGUUUAUACCGUAGCUUGCUACACCAUAGACUGUGAGUUGCGAACGGGUGAGUAACGCGUAGGUAACCUGCCUGGUAGCGGGGGAUAACUAUUGGAAACGAUAGCUAAUACCGCAUAAUAUUAAUUAUUGCAUGAUAAUUAAUUGAAAGGUGCAAUUGCACCACUACCAGAUGGACCUGCGUUGUAUUAGCUAGUAGGUGAGGUAACGGCUCACCUAGGCGACGAUACAUAGCCGACCUGAGAGGGUGAUCGGCCACACUGGGACUGAGACACGGCCCAGACUCCUACGGGAGGCAGUAGUAGGGAAUCUUCGGCAAUGGACGAAAGUCUGACCGAGCAACGCCGCGUGAGUGAAGAAGGUUUUCGGAUCGUAAAGCUCUGUUGUAAGAGAAGAACGGGUGUGAGAGUGGAAAGUUCACACUGUGACGGUAUCUUACCAGAAAGGGACGGCUAACUACGUG
Molecule: ribosomal RNA, 505 nt
Filed under: uncultured bacterium
Lineage: Bacteria
Description: partial 16S ribosomal RNA
Rfam family: Bacterial small subunit ribosomal RNA
Source: RNAcentral